AGGACGAACGCUGGCGGCGUGCUUAACACAUGCAAGUCGAGCGGAAAGGCCCUUCGGGGUACUCGAGCGGCGAACGGGUGAGUAACACGUGAGUAAUCUGCCCCUAGCUCUGGGAUAGCUCAGGGAAACCGGGAUUAAUACUGGAUACGACCACCUUAGACAUCUUUUGUGGUGGAAAGAAUUUCGGCUAGGGAUGAGCUCGCGGCCUAUCAGCUUGUUGGUGGGGUAACGCCUACCAAGGCGACGACGGGUA
This 253-nucleotide ribosomal RNA is filed under the name uncultured bacterium. Its description in RNAcentral is "partial small subunit ribosomal RNA". It matches the Rfam family "Bacterial small subunit ribosomal RNA", at positions 26 to 285 of the family's 1533-position model. The record is from RNAcentral.